This is a long non-coding RNA of Felis catus (domestic cat), 2761 nucleotides long. RefSeq lists it as uncharacterized. NCBI's taxonomy places the organism in Eukaryota, Metazoa, Chordata, Mammalia, Carnivora, Felidae. The transcript has 3 exons. The record is from RefSeq and is a predicted model, not a curated record.
GGCGCCGCGCGCCCCGCGCCCCGCGCCCGGCGCCAGCACCGAUACGGUGCGCCAGGCGGCCGGCCAGAGGCUCGACGAGCGCUACGCGGCCGCUGUGCCUUCCCGUAGUUCUUGCCUCCCGGGGGCGCGGCGCGGACCUGUCGCAGCCGAAGAGCUGUCGUUUCAUCGCCGGGGUUCAGAUGAAUUGAUCCGGUCCUCAGCGGACGGGGCACAUCUCAGUUCCCGAAAUGCUGCGUGUCUCCGGCUGGAACAAUACUAGUUUUUCUCAGCGAGGCUGCAAUUAACAUCUUGUUUGUUCUGGCUAGAUACAGGCUUUGUCAGGACCGCGGUGCGGCGACCGAGAUUGCGUUCCAACCCUACUAAAACUGAUGACAAGAACUAAAGUUGUGAGUACCAGCAUAUCUGUUGACCUUAAUCAACACUAGAGAUUAAGGUCAGUUGAUUACCUAUUAUUUCUGAACUCUUGUGUCUCUCCACCUCUGUUCCUUACCACUUCUGACCCACUCUUUUUCUUUCUGCCAGAUUCUCCCUCUUUGCCAUCUAGAUCUCCUUGCUCUUCUAUUCCAACACACCUUUAUGCAGAAUGUUCUUUUUGUACCUUCUCUUGACUGAAACCUACUAUUUUUGUGAAGACAUGGCAUCUCUUGCAACCAUGCCAAGAGGAAGCCAGUUACAUGCAUGCUUCUUCCACACUCUGAUUAACUAGGGAUUAUGGGUAGAUGGGAUCAGUGUCCUUGAUCUCCAUUGCUGGGUUCAAAUAUUUACUUCUAAUCUCACUUUAAUACCUUUUUUUUUUUCCUUAGAGGUUAUAAUUUUCCUUUGGCAGCCUCACCUCUUCCUCCUUGCUAUCUUUUUAAUGACUUCAAAUUUUACUUUUUAUUCAUACAGUCCUUUAGCUGCUGGCUAAGCUUCCCUCUCCAUCCAAUUUCCAGUCUUCUCAUGUUUUCAGCAUCCAUGUAGAUGGCUUAUAUGUCACACUGUCUUUUCAGUUCCGUUUCUGUAUUUUCUUUUAUACCAACUUAGCCACAUUUUCCUUUAGUCUUCAACUAAAGAGAUCAUAAAUAAUGACUGUUCCACUUCCAGUAUUGUUUCGAUUUUGUACAUACAAUCUUCUACUUUUGUAAACUCACCUUCUUGAUAACCAUAAGGAGCCAAGUCUUCCACAAUAUUCAGAUCUUUAAUCCAUUCCAACUAAUUUCUUCUCCUACCUUUUCUUCCCUCCUCUUACCCUGUAGCAGGCAGCCUCUCACAUGUCCCCCAGUGAUCCCUACUUCCUGUCAUUCAUGCCUUUGUAUAACCAUCUCCCCUUGAGUGUGAGCUAGAUUUAGAAACUUGCUUCCAGGGAGUAGGCAGCAGUGAUAGGAUGUCACUACCAAGUGUAGGGUAUGAAAUGACUGUCCUCCAUCUUUCACUCUCCAAAUAGCACUCACUCUGAGAUAUGUCACUUGUCCUGCUGUGAGACACAACCAAACCCAUGGGAGUUUGAUUAGAAGCACAUCUUCCAAGACCUGACAAUAGCUAUGUGAGUGAACUCAGAAGUAGAAGUUUCCCCAGUCAAGUCUGAGAUCUCCUGGCCAAUACCUUGGGAGUAGCUUUGGAGACACCUUGAAUGAGAACCACUCAGCUAAGCUGCUCCUGGCUUCCUGAUCUAUAGGAACUAUAUGAUACCAAAUAUUUACAUUUCCCAUUGCUAAGUUUAGGGAUAAUUUGUUAUACAAUAGAUAACUAAUGCAUACCCCCAUGGAUUCCAUGCCCAUUAUUAAAAUAAUUUACUUAUUACCUUCAGCUUUCUCUUCACAUUUUCAUGGCUGAAUUACCACACAUACUGUCUCUGAGCCAGCACCCAUGAAACAGAACAGUGGUGAAGAAAUUCACACCCUUAGGUAAUCUGAUGCAUUCAUAAUCACCCUAUGCAUUCAUAAUCACCAGGUUCAAAUGGUCUCACCACACAGGCUGUAACUCAAAACUUUCAAUUAUAAGCUCACUCUCCUAUUAUACCCUACGAAUAUUUUAUAAUUUUUACUUGAUAUUUAAAGCUUUCCUCCAAUUCUUCAAUUCUGAUAGCUUUCUUUAUUCUUCAUUGAUAAAACAGAUGUGAUCAUAUGGGAACUCCCUCAUCUUACAUAAUAAAUUCAUUAAACCUGUGCCUUCUUCCAUUUUCUCCUUUCUUCUAGCCUCUAAGGAGAUACUGCUCAUAUCUGAAAAGCCAUCCCCAUGUAUAAGUAUCUCAGGUCUUACUUCUAUUGAUUCUAUUGCACAAUGAAAAUUUUUCCCUCUCUUCUGGAUCAUUUUUAUCAAUAUGGUAUUUAAAAGGUAUUUUAAAGCACUGUGGCCAUCCUAAAACAAUUUUAAUAACAUUCCCAAUUUGUCAUUUCCUCUUCAUAACUAAUCUUCAAAAAGCAGCCUAUCACUUCACUUUGUUUCCUCACUUCCUUCUCAUUUCUCAAUUCAUUCUAAUUUGGCUUCCACCCUCAGUGUUCCACUGAAAAGUUUCUGAACAAGGUCACUAAAGGCUUUUAUGUUACCAAGUUGAUAGAUAUUUUUUUUUUCAUUUUACUCCAACUUUAGCACUAUUUUGCUUGUUAUGCCUUACAUUUUUAAAGCCACUCUUUCCAUCUUGAUUUCUGUUUUAUCAUACCUUCCUAGCACUGACUUCCCAGUCUCCUGCUGGUUUUCUUCUAUAUGAAAUGCCAGUUACUUAGAGAUAAAUGUUAGGUCUAAUUCCCUAAUUUCUCUCCCAUCUCUCCUUUGGUGAUCUAAU